This 412-nucleotide unclassified non-coding RNA is filed under the name Buddleja incana. RNAcentral describes it as "partial external transcribed spacer". Lineage: Eukaryota; Viridiplantae; Streptophyta; Magnoliopsida; Lamiales; Scrophulariaceae. The record is from RNAcentral.
GAGUAGCUGCGGCCAAAGCGUACUCGGCUCGGCGCUCCUGGGCUAGUUUUGCUUUUGCUGUCAGCAAGCGUGCUUCGCGGCUUGCGAACAAAAGCCCCGUUUAUCUCCGGCCCCCGGGAGCAUGGGUGAGUGACAAGGCGUAGGCUCUCUAGCUCGCUCUGAGGUGCUCGGUUGUUGGGCUCGUGCACGCCUCCGUGAACGCGCCCUGCACCGCGUGCCGCUUACGAAACUCCAGGUGGGGCGCGGCGCCGGGGCUCCCCGCGUCGUGUUCCGCCUUAGCCCUGCACAAUCGGUUGGCACACGGGAGCAACACCCAUAAGUCGUGUUCUAUCGCCUGCUGCCGGUUCCGUUUGUUCGUGAACUCGGCUCCUUACUUCUCCGAACGGACCGUACAGCAGCGACGGGUUCGUCC